This 64-nucleotide transfer RNA is filed under the name Dicyathifer mannii. RNAcentral describes it as "tRNA-Trp". Lineage: Eukaryota; Metazoa; Mollusca; Bivalvia; Myida; Teredinidae. The record is from RNAcentral.
AGGGUAUUAAGUUAAUUAGACUUUGACACUUCAAAUGUCGCAGUGAACUGGUGUUCAUACUCUG